AAUUUUGGACAAUGGGGGAAACCCUGAUCCAGCCAUCCCGCGUGUAUGAUGAAGGCCUUCGGGUUGUAAAGUACUUUUUGCAUAGAAGAAAAGGUAUCUCCUAAUACGAGAUACUGCUGACGGGUUCAGCAGAAUAAGCACCGGCUAACUACGUGCCAGCAGCCGCGGUAAUACGAAGGGUGCAAGGGUUAAUCGGAAUUACUGGGCGUAAAGCGUGUGUAGGCGGUUCGGAAAGAAAGAUAUGAAAUCCCAGGGCUCAACCUUAGAACUGCAUUUUUAACUGCCGAGCUAGAGUAUGUCAGAGGGGAGUAGAAUUCCACGUGUAGCAGUGAAAUGCGUAGAUAUGUAGAGGAAUACCGAUGGCGAAGGCAGCCCCCUGGGAUAAUACUGACGCUCAGACACGAAAGCGUGGGGAGCAAACAG
RNAcentral lists this ribosomal RNA (423 nucleotides) under uncultured bacterium. Its description in RNAcentral is "partial 16S ribosomal RNA". It matches the Rfam family "Bacterial small subunit ribosomal RNA", at positions 360 to 775 of the family's 1533-position model. The record is from RNAcentral.